Molecule: non-coding RNA, 2371 nt
Organism: Salmo salar (Atlantic salmon)
Lineage: Eukaryota; Metazoa; Chordata; Actinopteri; Salmoniformes; Salmonidae
Source: RefSeq, a predicted model, not a curated record
UUGAAGUUGAAUUGCCAUUAAAGCAGGUCAGUGUCUAGUUGAUACUGUACGUUGAUGAUUUAGAAAUGUGCAAUCCCCUCAGUACGUCAAGAAAGAAGCACAACAUUUGUGGAUUGUAUUGUAUUCUGGGAAGUUUGCCUCCAGGUUGUCAGUCCGCUUUGUCGUCGAUGUAUUUGAAUGCUUUAAUCAAAAGCGAUGAUGUGAAGUACUAUGGUUUUGAGAAAUUGCUAGAACCCCUGAUAAGGGAUCUUGUUAUUUUAGAACAGCAUGGCAUUUUUGUCUUAAAGUUGGGCCCGAGUAAAAAGCACAGUUCAGUGUGUUGUCGCUGACAAUCUUGGUGUGCAUGGUAUUGCAGGUUUUGUUGAGAAUUUCACAGGGACAUACCCAUGCAGAUUCUGCACAGCAGAGCAGUUAGAAUUUCACUCCAAAAUAGUUUGAACCGGAGCUUUCUGUCUAAAAACUAAGGAGAUGCAUGCAGGCCAUCUGAGGGAGCUUAAGGAAAAUGACCUGACCAGCUAUUAUGGUGUUAAAAAAAAUGUUUUGUCAAAGCACAUUUCCUAUUUCGAUGUGACCACUGGUUUUCCCCCUGGAAAUGUUCACAAUCUCUUCGAAAGAAUAUUCCCUCAUGAGUUUGCAGUGUACCAGAGUGUAUGCAUGACAAAAAAGUACUUCACAAUAGCAACUUUGAACGAGGUGAUACAAAGCUUUCUUUUUAAGUAGACUGACAAAACUAAUCACAGUAUUCCUGGCUAAAAGUGUGACACAUAAUGAAUUGAAGUACACGAAUGGGAUGAUCUUGGCACAUGGUUCACUAGGGGGAUUGCCAGAGUUUAGUGAAAUCAUCCAAAUUAUGAUAUUGCAAGAGAAGUUGAUCUUCAUUGUCAGAAAGCUGUGUGCAUGGUGACUUGAACACUACAGAGCUAAUGAUCUUCAAUUAUCGGAUAACAAUGAAGUGGAACUCGUUGAGCCACAUGAACUCAAAGAUGUACACCCGCUGGCAGACUACAUAAUGUGUCUGGUCACAGAGAGACGAUAUAUGUUUAAAGCUCAGAUUGGUAAAUAUGGUCUUAGUUCAUUAUAAUCAAUGAAGCCCUACAUGAUGAGUUUAAUGCUACAUUGAUAGAUGUAACAAACCAUGAAUGACUAACUGUGUCUGUUUCUGCUCUCUUUGUGUGCCCCUUUUUCUAUCAAAAUGGCUGGAGCCCGCAAGAUAAGGGCAUCUUCGGGGAGAACAACACUGAAAAACUGAACUUCCAGAAUGGCAUACCGGAAAUGAUGGAUGACCUACUCAAAACGAUAAAGAUUGACUUUCGGUUGAAUGGCAACAUUAGGCUGCAAUACAUAGACAAAGAUUUUGACAAUGAGUACUUCAAUCUGACUACUACCUCUGAACUUGAGGAUUUGGGGCCAGUGAAGGUGAUCCAGCAACACACCAACUCACCUUUUACCAGUACCCCUGUUGAGACUGCUUCUCACUCUAACGACUGCAUUUCCAUAGCAUCGGAUGACACGCUGAUCCUCUCGUCCUCUGAGUCUGUGUCAUCCUGAACAGAACAUUGGCCAAAGGACUUUCCGAUUCCACGCUCUCAUAUGACAGUGUGAUCCAACUUGAGAGGGCAAAUGCUGAAUACCAGUUUAGCCAAACAAUGCUGACUAUCAGCUCCAAGCUGAAAACCGAUAUACUGGAUAAACUCACAGAGGAAAUCUUCAAAUACAAGGCCUACCCAGAAAAAAUAGACUUAUGCACGGUUUUGGAGGCCUUAAUCAAGAAGCACCCCUGAUUGAAAGAACCCAGAUCAUUCAAUGGUUUCUACGGUUGGAAACAAAGACUUAAGCACAAAAUGGAAAACUACAGGACGUAGCUCAAAUUACUCUGGUGUCUUGAGGUCUCAGUUAACUCACUGAAAUCCAAAGUGACUGCUGAUCCUUUCCCUAUAAAAAAGGUAAGGCCCAAAAGUUUCUGAGGCUAACUACUACCAAUCCAUCCCUACUGGUCAGUCUCCCUAAAGCCUUGAAAAAGAGAGGCUUGAACUUCUGAAAGAGGUUGGGGAAAGUAAUAAUGAGAAGACUAUCUGGGACAAAAUGGCAGGAGGUGGAGAGCAAGCAACCCAGGAUUGAAGGUUUUAAGACAAUAUGGCCUAUGCUGUUCCAAGAGAAAGAGAUCAAUGCUGAGUUUCUGAGGACAAGUUCAUGGCCAAGUUAGACGUGCAUUCAAGUCAGAGUAAUCCAAGCCAAAGGAGGAACAACGUGGGAAAAGACCACUGACAUCAUGAACAUUUUGGAUCAGUAACCAAUUCCUGAGUGUCCCAAAUCCUGGGAGAGAGAGAGGCUAAGAAUAAACUUUAUGACAGGUGGCACCAGAAGAAUAUGU